Molecule: ribosomal RNA, 562 nt
Filed under: Staphylococcus aureus
Lineage: Bacteria; Bacillati; Bacillota; Bacilli; Caryophanales; Staphylococcaceae
Description: partial 23S ribosomal RNA
Rfam family: Bacterial large subunit ribosomal RNA
Source: RNAcentral
UAACUUGGGAGUCAGAACAUGGGUGAUAAGGUCCGUGUUCGAAAGGGAAACAGCCCAGACCACCAGCUAAGGUCCCAAAAUAUAUGUCAAGUGGAAAAGGAUGUGGCGUUGCCCAGACAACUAGGAUGUUGGCUUAGAAGCAGCCAUCAUUUAAAGAGUGCGUAAUAGCUCACUAGUCGAGUGACACUGCGCCGAAAAUGUACCGGGGCUAAACAUAUUACCGAAGCUGUGGAUUGUCCUUUGGACAAUGGUAGGAGAGCGUUCUAAGGGCGUUGAAGCAUGAUCGUAAGGACAUGUGGAGCGCUUAGAAGUGAGAAUGCCGGUGUGAGUAGCGAAAGACGGGUGAGAAUCCCGUCCACCGAUUGACUAAGGUUUCCAGAGGAAGGCUCGUCCGCUCUGGGUUAGUCGGGUCCUAAGCUGAGGCCGACAGGCGUAGGCGAUGGAUAACAGGUUGAUAUUCCUGUACCACCUAUAAUCGUUUUAAUCGAUGGGGGGACGCAGUAGGAUAGGCGAAGCGUGCGAUUGGAUUGCACGUCUAAGCAGUAAGGCUGAGUAUUAGGCA